CACAAUGUCCCUGACUGGAAAGACUCUCAGUGCUGCUGAGUCAGCACAGUGCAGAACCUGGCCCAAGAGGUGAUAAGGCCUCCUAGAGACGACAAGCAAGUUGAGGAAGCGGCUAGCUAAGGGAAGAGCAACUCAGUGAAAUGUCCAGGUCAAACCUGCAACUCACCCAGCCUAUUCCCACCAUUUAGGACAUGGAUGUCCUUUCUCAGUCCAGGGCCCAACAAUGAAAGCAUCACUAAGGACUGUGCCAUCCCUUUGAAUGGAGUGUUAGGUGAGGUGUGCCG
Molecule: long non-coding RNA, 284 nt
Organism: Otolemur garnettii (small-eared galago)
Lineage: Eukaryota; Metazoa; Chordata; Mammalia; Primates; Galagidae
Exons: 3
Source: RefSeq, a predicted model, not a curated record